This is a long non-coding RNA of Hypanus sabinus (Atlantic stingray), 1187 nucleotides long. RefSeq lists it as uncharacterized. Lineage: Eukaryota; Metazoa; Chordata; Chondrichthyes; Myliobatiformes; Dasyatidae. The record is from RefSeq and is a predicted model, not a curated record. The transcript has 3 exons.
UAUGAGGGGUAUAGAUAGGGUAAAUGCAAGCAGGCUUUUUCCACUGAGAUUAGGUGGGACUGCAACUAGAUGUCAUAGGUUAAGGACGAAAGGUGAAAAGUUUAAAGGAAACAUGAGAGGAAACAUCUUCACUUGGAGGGUCAUGAGAAUGUGGAAUGAACUGCCAGCGCCGGUGGUGCAUGCAAGCUCGAUUUCAACAUUUAACAGAAGUUUGGACAGAACUAAGAAGAGGGCUGUGGAAGUUGUGGUAAGGCAAGGGUUAAAGACAGCAUCCAGGUAAGGACAGCCAGAAGCACUUAUAGUCAGGCGCUGCUCCUGUGGGAAGAAUGGGACUUUGAGCUGACUGUCAAAUGGGCAGGGAAUAACUCCUAAUUUUCUCCAGUGAUAAAGGCAGUGCAAAGGACAUGCCUCUUUCAGCAGAACAGCCCGUGAACAGCCUCCCAGUUUCCACCAAGUAUGAAGUGGCAUGGAUUUCAAGACUUUUAUCUGUGUUCAGUUAAACAUAAGACUUAGAAACAAAAUAGUUAUUUUGGCUUCAUAGCACACAUUUGGUAGUCCUCGCAGAAGGCAGCACAGGUGGAUGACAUCCUGUUAAGUAGUAUUUUCUGGAACAUUUCCUGCUGGAUAAUGGAUGUCUCGUGGGGUCACCCAGGGCAGACUCCAAUCUCCAAUACUGUGCUUCCCCAAACUGCAUCAACUCAAAAUACUCAAUCAAAACCAAAAGCACGGAAUGAGGUGCUAGGAAGAAAGUAUAGGAAGUCAUGUUGAUCCGCAGAUACCCAGCAGUAUGAAAAUGUGUUUUAUCCGAUCAAACACGACACAAGUCUGCUAAGGCUAAGAGGAAGCAGAGCUGCCAUAAGAAGGCAACUCGCCCACCUACUGUUUCCAUCCGGAAAGUGGAAACCGUUUCCCAAAGAACCUAAGCUGGCGACAGCUGAUACUUUGUCUCAUUGUAAUCCAACUGGACAGGGGAAGGCUUGCAAUAUAAUUAUCCUGAUGAUUUACAUAUAUCUCUAUUUAUUUGCAUACUGGGCUCAUUUUGUAGGUGUUCGGCAGAAUGUUUAUCCUGCUCAAUAGAUCCAGCAGUUUAAUUAAAACUUACAUCUUUCAAGAUUGCCAAUUGAGAGCUCAGCCCAUUCACAAACUGCAAAUUAUCUGGAGUGUGCUGGCUAUGUCUAUGUACUUGA